RNAcentral lists this transfer RNA (107 nucleotides) under Povalibacter uvarum. RNAcentral describes it as "tRNA-OTHER". Lineage: Bacteria; Pseudomonadati; Pseudomonadota; Gammaproteobacteria; Steroidobacterales; Steroidobacteraceae. The record is from RNAcentral.
GGCGGUGAAGGGGAGCCCGCUUCAAAUGUCCGAGUUUAGCAGGCUGGCCUUAGGGCGCUUGUUCAUUCGUUCGACGAUCGCCGCGGGUUCGAAUCCCGCCACCGCUG